RNAcentral lists this ribosomal RNA (496 nucleotides) under uncultured bacterium. Its description in RNAcentral is "partial 16S ribosomal RNA". It matches the Rfam family "Bacterial small subunit ribosomal RNA", at positions 28 to 506 of the family's 1533-position model. The record is from RNAcentral.
GAUGAACGCUGGCGGCGUGCCUAAUACAUGCAAGUCGAGCGAACAGACGAGGAGCUUGCUCCUCUGACGUUAGCGGCGGACGGGUGAGUAACACGUGGAUAACCUACCUAUAAGACUGGGAUAACUUCGGGAAACCGGAGCUAAUACCGGAUAAUAUAUUGAGCCGCAUGGUUCAAUAGUGAAAGACGGUUUUGCUGUCACUUAUAGAUGGAUCCGCGCCGCAUUAGCUAGUUGGUAAGGUAACGGCUUACCAAGGCAACGAUGCGUAGCCGACCUGAGAGGGUGAUCGGCCACACUGGAACUGAGACACGGUCCAGACUCCUACGGGAGGCAGCAGUAGGGAAUCUUCCGCAAUGGGCGAAAGCCUGACGGAGCAACGCCGCGUGAGUGAUGAAGGUCUUCGGAUCGUAAAACUCUGUUAUUAGGGAAGAACAAAUGUGUAAGUAACUAUGCACGUCUUGACGGUACCUAAUCAGAAAGCCACGGCUAACUACGU